Alligator mississippiensis (American alligator) is the source of this 2610-nucleotide long non-coding RNA. RefSeq lists it as uncharacterized. The transcript has 3 exons. The record is from RefSeq and is a predicted model, not a curated record. NCBI's taxonomy places the organism in Eukaryota, Metazoa, Chordata, Crocodylia, Alligatoridae.
AGUGAAUGUUAGAGGAGCAGCAGGAGUGGCAUAGUCUAAGUCUUAAUGACUACUGUGCAAUACUGUAUGAUGACUGUAAUAGAGUGUACAGACCCAGGUUCAUGAAAUAAUGGUAUAUAGGCCAAUACUAUUCUGGUUUCAGUUUUCCUGGUACUCCACCUAUGCUUCCUGAAAGGAGGAACUGGUCUUGAGGAUGCAGUUUGGAGCUGGUAAAGAAGCUCAUGCAGAUACUCUGGUUGUAGGACAUAAAUAGAAAAUUCCAUAAAUAAGCUCACCUCUAGCAUCCCUGGUCUCUGUCAAAAAGCCCCACAAAAAUCUCUCUUUAAGAAAAUCUUUAUUGCCCUGAAUGGAGGACAACAGGCCCAUUCUCUGGUCCCCUGAAGACAAGCUGAAGAGAGUUUGAUAUCCAAAGACAUUACAGCUGGAGAGGAUGAUACACAGGAAGCUGGAUCUCCAUGACCAACCAAUCUCAUGCCACAUGACAUCUCUGCUAAGACUCUCACUGAGGAUAACUGACAAGCUAUUACCACUUGUGAGGGAGGUUUUUGUGACAUGGACUCCCACCUUUAAAGCAAUAGGGGCCAAACUUUUUGGCAGGUGUGCCACCAGUUUGCCCUGCACCCUCCCCAAGUGCCACUCCAAUUCUCUUCCCCUGCUUCAGCUGCCUCUCAGCUUUCUGCUUCCUUCCCUGUGCUCCCUACUCCAUUUGCUGCUUUGCUUUCUGCCUCCUGCUCUGUCUGCUAUUAUGCUGCGUCCCUUCUCCAUGUGCCACAGAGACUGUCUGUGCCACUUUUGGCACCCAUGCUGCAGGUUGGCUGCGCCUGCUUUAAGGUAGGGAACUGAGAUGCAUUAGCGUAUUCUGCGUUCUAUGUCGGCCAUUAGAACAUUGACUCGUAAGUGAUAAGUGUUUUCCCUUUUGUUCUAAAAUCAGGCGUAUUUUGUUUUUUUAGUUGGUCUAAUGAAAGAAACAAAAUAUUUUAGACACAAGAAAUACCUGUAUGAAAAUGGCACCACUAGACAGAAAGUUGGCUAAAAUUUACAGCCUCAUUGUGCUUACAUAAAGACUCAGGGGUCCAAUGACACACAGGACAUUGCAGAAUUGGAGCUUUUACUUGGUUGGUUGGUUGUUUUCCUCAACCCCUGAAAUGUUGUGGGGUCACAGCGGGAAUGGGCUAAUGUCUAAAUUCUGUGACAGUCACGUGUUUCUUUUAUGUCGAAAACAAACAAACAAACAAAAAACAGGGUUAUAUUUAAUUUAGAAUCUUAUAGGUUUUUUUUUUUAAUAAAGAUGAAAAAAUUUUCCCCUGGCGGGCUCUUACCCAGUAAUAAUAAAGCUUUUCAAAACUUCAAAAAGCAAGCAUCAAUAAAAACGCUGCUCAAAUGAAAAAUGCCCCAUGGCACAAUCAGUUACAGUGGUCCUGUUAGUAUCUCUUCCAUUAGUAUCUCAAAAGGAUUCUAAGCCACUCAUGCUGCCACAAGCACAAAGGGAAGCUGCAGGAUAUACAGUGUAAUUUUCUAUCAUAUUUAAUACCCUUGUUCCCUGGGAGAUCUAAAAUUGGGAGUAGAGAAGGGCAAGAUUUAGCAUUGUGGGAGUGCUCUGCUAGCUUAACCUGAGGAGAAAUACAGCACCGAGGUUCCAUUCUCUUCUCUCUCCCCAAGGGUAGGGAGGUAAAUUUCCAACUCAAAGAAAUGUCAUGCCCCAGCAUGCUUGCUCCUUGCAAAAUGCUUCUAAGAGAAAUUAUAACACUUUAAUUGGCUGAAGAGCAGGAUAAAGAUGAAGAUUCACGUGUCUGUACAAACUGCAUUUAGAUUAAAGAAACUGGAAUUCUAUGACCAAAGAAACCUCAAAAUGCCUAUUCCAGCACAGAAACCUAUAUGCAUUCAUCAAACAACAUGAAUUACACAGUAUGGCAGAGUCAUUGCAAUACUUUUAUACCUAAAACAAACAGGCUGAUAUUAGUCCUACUUCAUUUUGGUCAAAAUAACAUAAAAUAAAAACCAGUAAUUGGAAGGGGGAACAGAAAUAAGGAGGAAUAAGCCCCUCUUCUGGAUGAAACAGAUAUGUAAGGAUUUUUAUAGUGUAACGUGGGUGUCCCCGAAGUGAGCGUCCCCCCUCACCAAUAGAAGAGGGAAGCCAGCAGGGCACACGUACUGGGUGUGGAAACUCGCAGUUCCCUCUUACCUAUCGUGUCUCAAUAGAGGAGGAACAGAAAGCGAUGUCAUACACAGGUACAAAUGUAGUAUAUCUAUAUAAAAGGUAGUGAACUAAAGUGAGUAUUUACAGAUUAUAAAUACAUAUAACUAUAACUAUAUAGACACCCAAAUACAAACAGUAAGCAUAAUGGUCCCAAACGAUAUGAACAGAUAAAUACAACAAUAAAUAGCACUCUAAAAUACAAGGCGUACAGUUAACAGUUAAUAAAGACUCCAAAAUGCACAGUGUAUAUCAAACAAUCAAUAAACACUCUAAAAUAUAAGAUGCAAGAGUUCUCUAGUGGUUCCCCUCCUCUAGGGGAUCUCUUCCUUCUGUCUCUUGAUUGAGGCUACCUUCCUCAAGGGUCACUCCCCAGGGGGAGACCCGUUUCUGUACUGACCCAUGUGUCCCAAGGA